ACAAGUCGUGGAUUCUGCGGCUUAAUUUGAUUUAACACGGGAAAACUUACGCAGGCAAAAAGUUAAAAGGAUUGACAGCUUGAUAGCACUUUCUUGAUAUGACAGCGAGUGGUGCAUGGCCGUUCUUAGUUGGUGGAGUGAUUUGUCAGGUUAAUUCCCUAAACGAACGAGAUCUUCGCUUGCUAACUAGUCGUCGUUAAAAUCUAGCGAUUGACUUCUUAGAAGGACUACGGUUCCCAAAACCGUGGAAGUUGGAGGCAAUAACAGGUCCGUGAUGCCCUCAGAUGUUUGCGGCCGCACGCGUAAUACCAUGACUGGCACAAUAAGUUCCUAAUCCGAAAAGGAUUCGGGAAAUCUUCAUAAUGCCAGUCGUGCUUGGGAUAGAACCUUGCAAUUAUGGUUCUUGAACGAGGAAUGACUAGUAAGCUGAAGUCACUAACCUCAGCUGAUUACUGUCCCUAUCUUUGUACAC
This 472-nucleotide ribosomal RNA is filed under the name uncultured eukaryote. Its description in RNAcentral is "SSU rRNA". It matches the Rfam family "Eukaryotic small subunit ribosomal RNA", at positions 1169 to 1667 of the family's 1831-position model. The record is from RNAcentral.